UACGUAGGUGGCGAGCGUUGUCCGGAAUCAUUGGGCGUAAAGAGCGCGUAGGUGGCUUGUCAGGUCCGGUGUGAAAUCCUGGGGCUCAACUCCAGGCGUGCAUCGGAAACCGGCUUGCUAGAGUCUGGGAGAGGAGAGUGGAAUUCCUGGUGUAGCGGUGAAAUGCGUAGAUAUCAGGAGGAACACCGGUAGCGAAGGCGGCUCUCUGGAACAGUACUGACACUGAGGCGCGAAAGCUAGGGGAGCGAACAGGAUUAGAUACCCCUGUA
RNAcentral lists this ribosomal RNA (269 nucleotides) under uncultured prokaryote. RNAcentral's name for it is "partial 16S ribosomal RNA". It matches the Rfam family "Bacterial small subunit ribosomal RNA", at positions 524 to 792 of the family's 1533-position model. The record is from RNAcentral.